UUGAACGCUGGCGGCAGGCCUAACACAUGCAAGUCGAACGGUAACAGGAAGAAGCUUGCUUCUUUGCUGACGAGUGGCAGACGGGUGAGUAAUGUCUGGGAAACUGCCUGAUGGAGGGGGAUAACUACUGGAAACGGUAGCUAAUACCGCAUAACGUCGCAAGACCAAAAAGGGGGACCUUCGGGCCUCUUGCCAUCGGAUGUGCCCAGAUGGGAUUAGCUAGUAGGUGGGGUAACGGCUCACCUAGGCGACGAUCCCUAGCUGGUCUGAGAGGAUGACCAGCCACACUGGAACUGAGACACGGUCCAGACUCCUACGGGAGGCAGCAGUGGGGAAUAUUGCACAAUGGGCGCAAGCCUGAUGCAGCCAUGCCGCGUGUAUGAAGAAGGCCUUCGGGUUGUAAAGUACUUUCAGCGGGGAGGAAGGGAGUAAAGUUAAUACCUUUGCUCAUUGACGUUACCCGCAGAAGAAGCACCGGCUAACUCCGUG
This 489-nucleotide ribosomal RNA is filed under the name uncultured bacterium. RNAcentral's name for it is "partial 16S ribosomal RNA". It matches the Rfam family "Bacterial small subunit ribosomal RNA", at positions 30 to 507 of the family's 1533-position model. The record is from RNAcentral.